This 384-nucleotide ribosomal RNA is filed under the name uncultured soil bacterium. RNAcentral describes it as "bacterial SSU rRNA". It matches the Rfam family "Bacterial small subunit ribosomal RNA", at positions 26 to 413 of the family's 1533-position model. The record is from RNAcentral.
AGAUUGAACGCUAGCGGGAUGCUUUACACAUGCAAGUCGAACGGCAGCGCGGACUUCGGUCUGGCGGCGAGUGGCGAACGGGUGAGUAAUAUAUCGGAACGUGCCCAGUAGCGGGGGAUAACUACGCGAAAGCGUGGCUAAUACCGCAUACGCCCUACGGGGGAAAGGGGGGAUUCUUCGGAACCUCUCACUAUUGGAGCGGCCGAUAUCAGAUUAGCUAGUUGGUGAGGUAAAGGCUCACCAAGGCGACGAUCUGUAGCUGGUUUGAGAGGACGACCAGCCACACUGGGACUGAGACACGGCCCAGACUCCUACGGGAGCAGCAGUGGGAAUUUGGACAAGUGGGGGAAACCCUGAUCCAGCCAUCCCGCGUGUGCGAGUGAA